CAGCCGUAAACAAUGUGCGUUAGGUGUGUCGGUAACCACGCGUUACUGAUGCGCCGAAGAGAAAUCGUGAAACGCACCACCUGGGAAGUACGGUCGCAAGGCUGAAACUUAAAGGAAUUGGCGGGGGGAGCACCACAACAGGUGGAGCCUGCGGUUUAAUUGGAUUCAACGCCGGACAUCUCACCGGAUAAGACAGCUGAAUGAUUGUCAAUCUGAAGGUUUUACAUGACUAGCUGAGAGGUGGUGCAUGGC
This 252-nucleotide ribosomal RNA is filed under the name uncultured archaeon. Its description in RNAcentral is "partial 16S ribosomal RNA". It matches the Rfam family "Archaeal small subunit ribosomal RNA", at positions 748 to 998 of the family's 1478-position model. The record is from RNAcentral.